UGUGCUGGUGCCAGAGAAGGAUCAACCCGUGGCACUUUUCUGUGUCUCACCAGCAGGUGCUGACAGCUGAGCCAUUCCACGCACCUUUGGAGCAAAGAACUGCCGGAAACCAGGGCCAAGUUCAGAGCCUGAAAUUUUUUGAAAGGCUGCAAGGAGAAGCCUGGGGGGCCUGAUCACACAUUACGACAUACCACAGAGUACAAACCAUGCUUCAGUGAUAUUGAUCAGGCCACAGAUGACUGAGUUGUGAGAGGCCAUGAGCUUUCCAAGGUCGGUUUCCUAAACCAGUGCUUCUCAUCAGUCCGGUCCCCACUGGCCAGAGCUGUUGACAUCCUGGAAGAUAAUCUUAUAUUCCUGCAAAGGAUCUCACUCUGUCAAUCAUGGCUCACUGCAGCCUCGACCUCCAGGACUCCAUC
Molecule: long non-coding RNA, 416 nt
Filed under: Rhinopithecus roxellana (golden snub-nosed monkey)
Lineage: Eukaryota; Metazoa; Chordata; Mammalia; Primates; Cercopithecidae
Description: lncRNA (ENSRROG00000045985.1)
Source: RNAcentral